Molecule: long non-coding RNA, 1701 nt
Organism: Micropterus dolomieu (smallmouth bass)
Lineage: Eukaryota; Metazoa; Chordata; Actinopteri; Centrarchiformes; Centrarchidae
Exons: 3
Source: RefSeq, a predicted model, not a curated record
AAGUGGUGGAACUGAGGAGAGAGUACAUACACGGCACAAAUAUGUGCAGUCAGCACUAAAAUCGAACUCGUUGUCUUUAAAAACUAAUAAAAGAGUGUCAGUGGGGUGAGAAGAUUUUACUUGUUUCCAGUGCAGUGGAUUUUCUUAAAAGUUGCAUUGAAAUUGCACUGUCAAUGAGUGAUUCACCUUUAUGGAACUGGAGAUUUUAAAACAUGAUAACUGGGCAGUUUGUAGUGCAGUUUGAGGGGGAUAUAAUAGCAAGUGAGAGGGAGAAGGAAAGAAUAAUGGAGACUGAGAUGUAGUAUGUAGAAGGCAAACCAUUAGCAACACCUUCUGUGAUAAUGUAUUCCAAUACAACCACAGAGUUGAAUCAACACCCUGCAUGAAUUUUUGGCUCUGACUGACAUCAGUACUAUUAUUUGAUUGAUUGAACAGCCAUGCAAGCAGUUAACCAGCUAUGGGGCUGACGUUCUGAGCCAUUGAUGUCCCCAUUUGAGUUUCAAGCUUUCCAUCGGUUACUGUGUGACUCAGCUUGGAUGCUAUGAUUCGAAUCACAUGGUAUCAUAUGGACUGCUAAGGUUCAUAACUGGACCCAUGAAAGGGAGUGAUCGAACUAGCUAGACCCCCCCACCACCACCUUCCUACACAAUGGAGUGCAGUGUUAAAAUGAGGAUUCUGCAUGUUUUAAAGGUUUCCACCAUGGACAGUCGGGAGGGAAAGCAGCCAUUGCGUAAAAACCUUGGUUUGUUUCAUUCAGUGUGUCCCGAGUAUGUGGAAAUCGUAUGUACUGCUGGUACAUACGAUUUCCACAUACUAAGUAACUUGGGAAAGCUCACCUGGAAAAACUGCUUUGGGAAACCCCAGGAGAAACAGAUACAGUAGGCUGGAAUGACCCAGACGUGAGGAAAUGCCAGCAGAUCGUGCUUCAUCCACCCAGUGGGAAAAAUCACCGUCUCCCUUUCAGGAGCCUAAUCUGGAGAGGUUGGCCGAGCACCGGCAGCGUGCCUAUGGCGCCUGACUCCUGUGACAGAGCCCCCCAGACCUGAGGCACAGGCCAGGGCUCCGUCACUGCCAGCCGCGUCACCUCUGCGUACUACCCCGCCGAUCUGGGGGCUACCAAGAUGACUGACGGCUGUGUAGCAGGCCCAGGGUAACCACUGGAUGGGCUGCUGCCAUAAGCCCCAGCAGCUGCAUCACUGACAGCGCAGUCACAGCAGUUCCCAGCUGGAGCUUGCGGACCGCUUGAAGAAGAGUUGUCUGUCUGAGCCGGGAAGCUUUCCUCUCCACAGCUCUUGGCCACAGUGGGAGAGAUUGUGUCCCCUCUGCUGCCAAAUGGCGCAGUGAGACGCUCGCAGAGGCAACGACGGAUCUUCUCUGCCUCGCUAUGACGGGAGAGACGUGGCUAGUGGCAGCAUCUCUCUGGCAAUUGCAGGCUAGGCCGCUGCUACCACGGUUACACCGUGAUGCGCUGCCACCUCUCGUUGGAGCAGUUGUCGGCAGCGUAGCGUGUAUGUCUGUGUGGCACGAAAACACUGCCGAUUCUGAAUGUAACUGUUUCCAGCCUUGACAAACACCAUGCCAGGAAGUAGGUAAAUACUGAAAUGAUCACAUACCUCCUAUCUUUUCUAAUUGGUGGAAUUGGUGUUGUUUUUACAACCAUACCCAGUCUCCCCUAAUAUCAUUUUAGUUUAUAUUUCCUUU